This 292-nucleotide ribosomal RNA is filed under the name uncultured bacterium. RNAcentral's name for it is "partial 16S ribosomal RNA". The record is from RNAcentral.
GGACUACAGGGGUAUCUAAUCCCGUUUGCUCCCCUAGCUUUCGCGCCUCAGCGUCAGUAUUGGGCCAGAUGAGCGCCUUCGCCACCGGUGUUCCUCCUGAUAUCUACGCAUUUCACCGCUACACCAGGAAUUCCCUCAUCCUCUCCCAUACUCAAGCCAAGCAGUUUGGAAUGCAGAUCCUCGGGUAAGCCGAGGGAUUUCACAUCCCACUUACCUGACCGCCUACACGCCCUUUACGCCCAGUGAUUCCGAACAACGCUUGCUCCCCCCGUGUUACCGCGGCUGCUGGCAC